Long non-coding RNA from Conger conger (European conger), 611 nucleotides. RefSeq lists it as uncharacterized. The record is from RefSeq and is a predicted model, not a curated record. The transcript is spliced from 4 exons. Lineage: Eukaryota; Metazoa; Chordata; Actinopteri; Anguilliformes; Congridae.
GGGAACAUCAAAGCCCCUGACUGCAGAGAGCGCUUCCCCUGACGGUGCGGCAGGAACAGGCCCACCUUGCAGUCCUCCCCUCUCCUCGGUGCUGGGGGAAAUGGCGGUCCAUUGGGAAGAGCCUGCACUAAUCUGACAUGAGAGUAUCGCUUCCUAAUCCUCUUCAGAUGACAGGGAGGCGCUCGUGUAUGCAUCAACACCAGAAGGAUGGUCAACUUGUCUGAAUUGAAUGCAAAAAUCAAGAUUCACAAGCCAUGUGUACAGAUGACAAGAUUUGGUGUGGCUGCUGACGCGUCCUCUCAGCUCUGAGGUGGCCAUGACGCUGGAGAGGGCUGCUGUACCUCUGCCCCCGCCGCGCUCCCGGGAGACUCCAAUUUGCGCUUCUUCCUGGGUCCGAUGGCUGCCAGCGCGGUGAGAUUGGCGUCUCGCUGUCUCAUCUGAGCCAGCUCCUGCUGCUGCAUCUGAAGCGCACAGCAGCGGGUUAGACAGCCGUCAGCCGCACCUUACGCUUCUGGCUCCAAUCCCAUGGAGAGAUACAAGCCAACUCGACCAUUUAGGGCUGGGAUAUAUUUUAACGUAAUCAGGACAUCAGACGGAACACAUCUGAGGUA